GGACGAACGCUGGCGGCGUGCUUAACACAUGCAAGUCGAGCGGUAAGGCCCUUUCGGGGGUACACGAGCGGCGAACGGGUGAGUAACACGUGGGUGACCUGCCCUCAGCUCUGGGAUAAGCCUGGGAAACCGGGUCUAAUACUGGAUAUGACUCCAUGACGCAUGUUGUGGGGUGGAAAGCCUUGUGCGGCUGAGGAUGGGCCCGCGGCCUAUCAGCUUGUUGGUGGGGUGANGGCCUACCAAGGCGACGACGGGUAGCCGGCCUGAGAGGGCGACCGGCCACACUGGGACUGAGACACGGCCCAGACUCCUACGGGAGGCAGCAGUGGGGAAUCUUGCGCAAUGGGCGAAAGCCUGACGCAGCGACGCCGCGUGAGGGAUGACGGCC
This 388-nucleotide ribosomal RNA is filed under the name uncultured bacterium. RNAcentral's name for it is "bacterial SSU rRNA". It matches the Rfam family "Bacterial small subunit ribosomal RNA", at positions 27 to 416 of the family's 1533-position model. The record is from RNAcentral.